AUUGGAAGUAAAAGUCGUAACAAGGUUUCCGUAGGUGAACCUGCGGAAGGAUCAUUAUAGAAAUAAAACUGAACAGGCUGUUUGCUGGUCCUUCUUGAGGGACAUGUGCACGCCUGUCAUCUUUAUUUUUCCAACUGUGCACAUAUUGUAGACCUGGUGUUUUUCUUAUCGUUCGAAUAGAUUGAGGACUGCCGUCGAGGCUUUGCCUUGUAUUUUCCAGGUCUAUGUUGUAAUACAUUUUCACAACGUGUCUCAGAAUGUCGAGUACUGGGGAUAACAAAUAUACAACUUUCAGCAACGGAUCUCUUGGCUCUCGCAUCGAUGAAGAACGCAGCGAAAUGCGAUAAGUAAUGUGAAUUGCAGAAUUCAGUGAAUCAUCGAAUCUUUGAACGCACAUUGCGCCCUUCGGUAUUCCGUUGGGCAUGCCUGUUCGAGCGUCAUUUAAACCUUCAAGCUAUGCUUGGUGUUGGGUGUUUGUUCCGCCUCAGCGCGUGGACUCGCCUCAAAUUCAUUGGCAGCCGGUAUGUUGGCUUCGUGCGCAGCACAUUGCAAGCGAUUUCAGCAGACUCCCUUCCAUAAGCCCUUUUUUUACUUUGACCUCGGAUCAGGUAGGGAUACCCGCUGAACUUAAGCAUAUCAAUAAGCGGAGGAAUC
Molecule: ribosomal RNA, 654 nt
Filed under: uncultured Pleiochaeta
Lineage: Eukaryota; Fungi; Ascomycota
Description: eukaryotic LSU rRNA
Rfam family: 5.8S ribosomal RNA (bases 287-440)
Source: RNAcentral